CCUACGGGUGGCAGCAGUGAGGAAUAUUGGUCAAUGGGCGGGAGCCUGAACCAGCCAAGUCGCGUGAGGGAUGACGGUACUGAGUAUUGUAAACCUCUUUUGCCAGGGGACAAAGGCGGCCACGGGUGGCCGUAAGAAGGUACCGGGAGAAUAAGCACCGGCUAACUCCGUGCCAGCAGCCGCGGUAAUACGGAGGAUGCGAGCGUUAUCCGGAUUUAUUGGGUUUAAAGGGUGCGAAGGCGGCGUGUCAAGGUUGCGGUAAAAUGUCGGGGCUCAACCCCGGCCGGCAGUUGAAACUGGCGUGCUCGAGUUGGAGGAAAGUAUGCGGAAUUCGUGGUGUAGCGGUGAAAUGCUUAGAUAUGACGAAGAACCCCGAUUGCGAAGGCAGCAUGCCGGCGCCACACUGACGCUGAUGCACGAAAGCGUGGGUAUCGAACAGGAUUAGAUACCCGGGUAGUC
RNAcentral lists this ribosomal RNA (459 nucleotides) under uncultured bacterium. RNAcentral describes it as "partial 16S ribosomal RNA". It matches the Rfam family "Bacterial small subunit ribosomal RNA", at positions 338 to 795 of the family's 1533-position model. The record is from RNAcentral.